This 406-nucleotide ribosomal RNA is filed under the name uncultured bacterium. RNAcentral describes it as "partial 16S ribosomal RNA". It matches the Rfam family "Bacterial small subunit ribosomal RNA", at positions 30 to 526 of the family's 1533-position model. The record is from RNAcentral.
AUUGAACGCUGGCGGCAGGCCUAACACAUGCAAGUCGAGCGAGUGGCGGACGGGUGAGUAAUGUCUGGGAAUCUGCCUGAUGGCGGGGGAUAACUACUGGAAACGGUAGCUAAUACCGCAUACCAUCAGAUGUACCCAUAUGGGAUUAGCUAGUAGGUGAGGUAACGGCUCACCUAGGCGACGAUCCCUAGCUGGUCUGAGAGGAUGACCAGCCACACUGGGACUGAGACACGGGCCAGACUCCUACGGGAGGCAGCAGUGGGGAAUAUUGCACAAUGGGCGCAAGCCUGAUGCAGCCAUGCCGCGUGUAUGAAGAAGGCCUUCGGGUUGUAAAGUACUUUCAGCCGGGAGGCGUUACCCGCAGAAGAAGCACCGGCUAACGCCGUGCCAGCAGCCGCGGUAAUAC